GACGAACGCUGGCGGCGUGCUUAACACAUGCAAGUCGAACGAUGAUCUCCCGCUUGCGGGGGUGAUUAGUGGCGAACGGGUGAGUAAUACGUGAGUAACCUGCCCUUGACUCUGGGAUAAGCCUGGGAAACCGGGUCUAAUACUGGAUACUACUUCCUGCCGCAUGGUGGGGGGUGGAAAGUGUUUUACUGGUUUUGGAUGGGCUCACGGCCUAUCAGCUUGUUGGUGGAGUAAUGCCUCACCAAGGCGACGACGGGGAGCCGGCCUGAGAGGGUGACCGGCCACACUAGGACUGAGACACGGCCCAGACUCCUACGGGAGGAAGCAGUGGGGAAUAUUGCACAAGGGGAGGAAGCCUGAUGCAGCGACGCCGCGUGAGGGAUGACGGGCUUCGGGUUGUAAACCUCUUUCAGCAGGGAAGAAGCCACAAGUGACGGUACCUGCAGAAGAAGCGCCGGCUAACUACGUG
This 469-nucleotide ribosomal RNA is filed under the name uncultured bacterium. RNAcentral describes it as "partial 16S ribosomal RNA". It matches the Rfam family "Bacterial small subunit ribosomal RNA", at positions 28 to 507 of the family's 1533-position model. The record is from RNAcentral.